AGAGUUGAAGGAAUUGUUGCUCCGCUCCGGCCCUCCUCCCGCCGGCGGCCUUCCCACACCGGUGAUCAGAGCCGGAGGAUCUCCCUCAUGUCCUUGUGCUUCUCUGGGUCGUCCUUGCUCCGGCGGCCUCGAACGGAUCAGACACGGCCAUCCCUGGUUGGACCCCACCUCGGGAAGAGAAGCUCACUGGCCUCCCGAUCCAAAAGGUCGAUUCAUCUGUCGGAAUACAAACAAUCUCGCUCUCCCGGUCUCCCCGCCUCCCCUUCUCUUAAUUACUCCAAUUUCACCCCUUCCCCUUCUCUCGCCCCUCCACUUGAUCUACUUAAACACAAAGCUCGACCUGGUUUUGCAACUUGCCCAACCAUGAAGUUUGUCCUCACCGUCCGCCCGUCCGUCGCCAACUAGGAUCGAAGCAACGACAACAGGAUUGGAUCCGGUGUACAUCAGUUGUACAUCAGUAAUCUGUCGUCUCCUAGAUAGUCCAGUCAUUUUACCUCUCCACGCAAUUGGAAACGAAUGAAUAGGCCCGUUUCGAUCUGUUCGACCAGGCAACCAAGCAGGCGGCUUCCUAUAGUAUCCUUCCGCUCAGGUUUUUCAUGGCCAUGGAGGUUUUGAUGCAGCAUCCUACAUGAAAAAACAUGCCAUGAGGUUGUUAUUUGAGGAUUCAGAGUUCCUAGAAGCAGUACAAGAUGUUUUUCUUCUUCUUCUGAAUCUGUCACGAACUCAAUCAACAGAGCUUUCGCAGUUGUUGGUUGCAAAUGUUGGGGAUUGCCGAGCAGUUCUAUGUAGGAAAGGCAUGUCUAUAGAGAUGUGGCAUGAUCCAAGGCCAAGAUAUGAAGCAAAGAUAAUGCUCAUUUCACAUGGACAUAAGGUUGUAUAUAUUAUUAUUUUGCUUACAUAGUGUUUGAUUGCUAAUAGAUGUCUUUGCUUUUCUCAUGCUUUUCCAACAAUUACUAACAUGUAAUGUAAUGGCAUGAUGCGUAGCAAGACAUAAUUUUGUUUCCUUCACAAAUAAUCCUUUCCACUUUA
Long non-coding RNA from Triticum aestivum (bread wheat), 1029 nucleotides. RefSeq lists it as uncharacterized. The transcript has 3 exons. Lineage: Eukaryota; Viridiplantae; Streptophyta; Magnoliopsida; Poales; Poaceae. The record is from RefSeq and is a predicted model, not a curated record.